AGGAGCUCAAAUUUGAAAUCUGGGGUCCCCCGGCCCCCGAGUUGUGAUUUGGAGAGGCAUCUUCGGGGGGGAGCGCCGGCCCAUGUUCCUUGGAACAGGACGUCGCAGAGGGUGAGAAUCCCGUGCCAGGCCGGCUGCCUCCUCCCUAGUGAAGGGCCUUCGACGAGUCGAGUUGUUUGGGAAUGCAGCUCCAAGUGGGUGGUAAAUUUCAUCUAAAGCUAAAUACCGGCGGGAGACCGAUAGCGCACAAGUAGAGUGAUCGAAAGAUGAAAAGCACUUUGAAAAUAGAGUCAAAAAGUACGUGAAAUUGUUGAAAGGGAAGCGCUUGAGACCAGACUCAGACCCGAGCAAACACCGCGCCCCUCGGGGCCGUGCAAUUGCCUGGGGCUGGGCCAGCAUCAGUUGGCGUGGCGGGACAAAGGCGCGGGGAAUGUGGCUCCCCUCGGGGAGUGUUAUCAGGCCCGCGCUCAAUGCCGCCGCCGCCGACUGAGGACCGCGCCUC
RNAcentral lists this ribosomal RNA (502 nucleotides) under Helvella costifera. RNAcentral's name for it is "eukaryotic LSU rRNA". It matches the Rfam family "Eukaryotic large subunit ribosomal RNA", at positions 103 to 605 of the family's 3401-position model. The record is from RNAcentral. Lineage: Eukaryota; Fungi; Ascomycota; Pezizomycetes; Pezizales; Helvellaceae.